UACGGAGGGUGCAAGCGUUGUCCGGAUUCAUUGGGUUUAAAGGGUGCGCAGGCGGGACAUUAAGUCAGGGGUGAAAGACGGUUGCUCAACAAUCGCAGUGCCUUUGAUACUGGUGUUCUUGGGUAACCUUGAGGUAGGCGGAAUGGGUGGUGUAGCGGUGAAAUGACAUAGAUACCACCCAGAACUCCGAUUGCGAAGGCAGCCUACUGGAGGUCAACCGACGCUCAGGCACGAAAGCCGUGGGGAUCAAACAGGA
Molecule: ribosomal RNA, 256 nt
Filed under: uncultured bacterium
Lineage: Bacteria
Description: partial 16S ribosomal RNA
Rfam family: Bacterial small subunit ribosomal RNA
Source: RNAcentral